Molecule: ribosomal RNA, 467 nt
Filed under: uncultured bacterium
Lineage: Bacteria
Description: partial 16S ribosomal RNA
Rfam family: Bacterial small subunit ribosomal RNA
Source: RNAcentral
GACGAACGCUGGCGGCGUGCUUAACACAUGCAAGUCGAACGGAAAGGCCCUGCUUUUGUGGGGUGCUCGAGUGGCGAACGGGUGAGUAACACGUGAGUAACCUGCCCUUGACUUUGGGAUAACUUCAGGAAACUGGGGCUAAUACCGGAUAGGAGCUCCUGCUGCAUGGUGGGGGUUGGAAAGUUUCGGCGGUUGGGGAUGGACUCGCGGCUUAUCAGCUUGUUGGUGGGGUAGUGGCUUACCAAGGCUUUGACGGUUAGCCGGCCUGAGGGGGUGACCGGCCACUUGGGGCAGGCAGAAGGGCCCGUAUUAUAAGGGGGGGAGGAGUGGGGAAAUAUGGCAAAUGGGGGGAAGUCCGAUUGCGGCACGGCGCGUGGGGGAAGAAGGCCUUUCGGUUUGAAACCGCUUUCGCCUGUGACGAAGCGUGAGUGACGGUAAUGGGUAAAGAAGCACCGGCUAACUACGUG